Small nucleolar RNA from Neoarius graeffei (lesser salmon catfish), 83 nucleotides. RefSeq annotates it as small nucleolar RNA SNORD11B. Lineage: Eukaryota; Metazoa; Chordata; Actinopteri; Siluriformes; Ariidae. The transcript has a single exon. The record is from RefSeq and is a predicted model, not a curated record.
GGCAAGCACUGAUGAUUAUGACCUUGUGUCAAGACCCUGAGAUCGAUGAAGGUGUCUAAGUCACUACCUCAUCUGAGCUUGUG